RNAcentral lists this long non-coding RNA (213 nucleotides) under Elaeis guineensis (African oil palm). RNAcentral describes it as "long non-coding RNA (EGUI_LNC007538)". Lineage: Eukaryota; Viridiplantae; Streptophyta; Magnoliopsida; Arecales; Arecaceae. The record is from RNAcentral.
GGGGCAACUGUUUUUUGUAUAUUUGGAACUCCUUUUUGUUUAUUAUCAAUUUUAGACCUCUCAAAUAUUGAUGGUCUUCUUCCACUAACCCUUUUUAUAGCCAUUAUUUUAAUUUUGAUUUUUGGGGUGGAAGCAGUUGCUUCUUAAGUAGGCAUCAUGAUAGUAGAAAAAGGCAUCUCUUGAAUAUCUUCCUGAGUGAUAGCAAUACUAGCU